This 405-nucleotide ribosomal RNA is filed under the name uncultured bacterium. RNAcentral's name for it is "partial 16S ribosomal RNA". It matches the Rfam family "Bacterial small subunit ribosomal RNA", at positions 28 to 526 of the family's 1533-position model. The record is from RNAcentral.
GAUGAACGCUGGCGGCUUGCCUAAUACAUGCAAGUCGAGCGAAGCGGGGACGGGUGAGUAACACGUGGAUAACCUCCUAUACGACUGGGAUAACUUCGGGAAACCGUAGCUAAACCGGAUACUUAUCUGUGGAUCCGCUCUGCAUUCGCUAGUUGGUAAGGUCACGGCUUACGAAGGCAACGAGGCAUAGCCGACCUGAGAGGGUGAUCGGCCAAAAUGGAACGGAGACACGGUCCAGCCUCCUACGGGAGGCAGCAGUAGGGAAGCUUCCGCAAUGGGCGAAAGCCUGACGGAGCAACGCCGCGGGAGUGAUGAAGGUCUUCGGAUCGUAAAACUCUGUUAUUAGGGAAGCGGUACCGAAUCAGAAAGCCACGGCUAACUACGUGCCAGCCGCCGCGGUAAUUC